AACGAACGCUGGCGGCAUGCCUAACACAUGCAAGUCGAACGAGACCUUCGGGUCUAGUGGCGCACGGGUGCGUAACGCGUGGGGAUCUGCCCUUUGCUUCGGAAUAACAGUUAGAAAUGACUGCUAAUACCGGAUGAUGUCGUAAGACCAAAGAUUUAUCGGCAAAGGAUGAACCCGCGUAGGAUUAGCUAGUUGGUGGGGUAAAGGCCUACCAAGGCGACGAUCCUUAGCUGGUCUGAGAGGAUGAUCAGCCACACUGGGACUGAGACACGGCCCAGACUCCUACGGGAGGCAGCAGUGGGGAAUAUUGGACAAUGGGCGAAAGCCUGAUCCAGCAAUGCCGCGUGAGUGAUGAAGGCCUUAGGGUUGUAAAGCUCUUUUACCCGGGUAUGAUAAUGACAGUACCGGGAGAAUAAGCUCCGGCUAACUCCGUG
This 434-nucleotide ribosomal RNA is filed under the name uncultured bacterium. RNAcentral describes it as "bacterial SSU rRNA". It matches the Rfam family "Bacterial small subunit ribosomal RNA", at positions 29 to 507 of the family's 1533-position model. The record is from RNAcentral.